RNAcentral lists this ribosomal RNA (251 nucleotides) under Salmonella enterica subsp. enterica serovar Ouakam. RNAcentral's name for it is "partial 23S ribosomal RNA". It matches the Rfam family "Bacterial large subunit ribosomal RNA", at positions 1093 to 1258 of the family's 2925-position model. The record is from RNAcentral. Lineage: Bacteria; Pseudomonadati; Pseudomonadota; Gammaproteobacteria; Enterobacterales; Enterobacteriaceae. RNAcentral also lists the same sequence under 2 other names.
CCAGGAUGUUGGCUUAGAAGCAGCCAUCAUUUAAAGAAAGCGUAAUAGCUCACUGGUCGAGUCGGCCUGCGCGGAAGAUGUAACGGGGCUAAACCAUGCACCGAAGCUGCGGCAGCGAACGUAUCACCCAAGACAACUUUACGGAGUUGACGAUUGACGGAGCGAAGCGACGUCAAAGCGUUCAUUAAAGUCGAGUUGGCUUAGGGAUACGUUCGUUGGGUAGGGGAGCGUUCUGUAAGCCUGUGAAGGUG